RNAcentral lists this long non-coding RNA (1514 nucleotides) under Bos indicus x Bos taurus (hybrid cattle). Its description in RNAcentral is "lncRNA (ENSBIXG00005002101.1)". Lineage: Eukaryota; Metazoa; Chordata; Mammalia; Artiodactyla; Bovidae. The record is from RNAcentral.
GUGGGAUCAGCUACAGGGCAGGGAGAGACUCCUGAACCUGUGUCUCUGCCAUCAGGGGGUGGGGGAACCCCAGCUUAUGGCUCCUCUCUAGGUCCUGCUCCCAGGUACCCCAUCCUCUGCAGGAGAGACCUUCUGAUGGAGCUUCAAGUAUGUUCAUGCUGGGCUGUGCCACGUAUGGAGGGGGACAAGCCUAUUAUCUUUAUAUUAGGGGAACUAAUAGCCCAUUUCCUGGGAAAUCUGUGAGUGAUAAAAAUAAGUGGGCCGUUUUAUUCCUUUUGCCAAGAGGAGCUGGCACAAGGGGAUGGGGGACGGCUUUGUUGUCUCUCUGGCUAGUGGGAGUGUCAGGGCUGGCCGGGAGCAGCCACCUCGGCUGGUAGUCCCCAGCGCUGCGGGGAGGGACUCCAGGCCCCACAUGGGAGGAAGGAGAGUUGUUUUGCUCUGGAGUGCCUGUGAUGGUCUCCCACUUCUGACUCCACCCUUCCCGGGGGGCCCUGCUUCCAGCCCUCCCCACAAAGCUGAGCCCAGGGGAGAAUGUACUGCCUCGUGGAACUGAGCAAGAACUUGCCUCUGUUCUCUCUCCUAGGCAUAUUUUAUUCAAUGCUGCAUUUCCCACUGUGGGGUUUGUCCCCUAAUGGAUGAACUUACAGGUAUCAGGGAAUAUUGGGAGGCUGGGGGCAGAGGGGCCACUCACACUCCUGCAGUGGGUUAGAAUCCUCCCCUGUGUGGAGAAACUUGGCUCCUAUCUUGCCCUAGAGGUCCUUCCUUGUCUCAGUUUCACCUCAUUUCAAAGGUGAAUUGGAACCUAUGCCAGCAAACCCACUGAAGGCUCCCUCCUCUGCUGUUACCAUCUGAGGAGCCGUGGGAAUGGGAGGGGGCACUCUUCUUAAACUGCAGCCCUGGGCAUGUAGCCCUGCCACUUCCCCACAGCAUCUCUCUCCUGCCACAAAAGGACACAUAGAUCCCUUUAGAGGUAACCGCUUUGCUCAAGUAGGAGUCAUCUCAGGGCAGCCACGGCGUCUGGGUUUCCAGCUUUGUGUUCUCAGCCACAUAGAAAUCUGCCUUCUCCUCCAAGUUCCUGCCUGCAUCACCAAAGGCCAACAGCCUCUAUCCUCCGGUCCCUGGCGAAAUCGUCUUUCUGAUGGAAACAGGAAUCACACCCUGGUUCAUGUGCUAUUUCGGAUGAUCCAGAGUCCCCAUGACAGGUGCGCCCUGGACUCUGCUGUCUCCAACCCCGCUUUGAAGAGCUGCCUCUUCUGAGCUGGCCCACUUCCACCUACAAGUACCAGCAGGCAUUGAAUUCUGGAGGUUGCGGAUCCCUGCUUUAAGAGAAGGCUUGGGGGACUUCCCUGGCGGUCCAGUGGCUGAAGACUCUGUGCUCCCAGUGCAGGGGGCUCCAAUUCAAUCCCUGGUCAGGGAACUAAACCCCACAUGCCCCAACUAAAGAUCCAGCAUGCUGCAAUUAACACCCAAAGCAGCCAAAUAAAUGAAUACAGAAAUAAAUAUUGUUUUAAAAA